This 65-nucleotide transfer RNA is filed under the name Ictidomys tridecemlineatus (thirteen-lined ground squirrel). Its description in RNAcentral is "Spermophilus tridecemlineatus (thirteen-lined ground squirrel) tRNA". It matches the Rfam family "tRNA", at positions 6 to 65 of the family's 71-position model. From Rfam's summary of the family: Transfer RNA (tRNA) molecules are approximately 80 nucleotides in length. Lineage: Eukaryota; Metazoa; Chordata; Mammalia; Rodentia; Sciuridae. RNAcentral also lists the same sequence under 1 other name. The record is from Rfam by way of RNAcentral.
UGUAGCUCAGUGGUAGAGCACUUGCUUAGCAUGCAAAAGGCUCACUCUGGGGUCAAUUCUCAGCA